GAUGAACGCUAGCGGCAGGCUUAAUACAUGCAAGUCGAGGGGCAGCAUGAGUGUAGCAAUACAUUUGAUGGCGACCGGCAAACGGGUGCGGAACACGUACAGAACCUUCCUUCGAGCGGGGAAUAGCCCAGAGAAAUUUGGAUUAAUACCCCAUAGUACAACGGAGUGGCAUCACUUUGUUGUUAAAGAUUUAUCACUUGAAGAUGGCUGUGCGGCUGAUUAGGUAGUUGGCGGGGUAACGGCCCACCAAGCCUGCGAUCAGUAACUGGUGUGAGAGCACGACCAGUCACACGGGCACUGAGACACGGGCCCGACUCCUACGGGAGGCAGCAGUAAGGAAUAUUGGUCAAUGGACGAAAGUCUGAACCAGCCAUGCCGCGUGGAGGAUGAAGGUCCUCUGGAUUGUAAACUUCUUUUAUAUGGGACGAAAAAGGCUUUUCUAAGUCGUCUGACGGUACCAUAUGAAUAAGCACCGGCUAACUCCGUGCC
RNAcentral lists this ribosomal RNA (489 nucleotides) under uncultured bacterium. Its description in RNAcentral is "bacterial SSU rRNA". It matches the Rfam family "Bacterial small subunit ribosomal RNA", at positions 28 to 509 of the family's 1533-position model. The record is from RNAcentral.